Unclassified non-coding RNA from Macaca fascicularis (crab-eating macaque), 117 nucleotides. It matches the Rfam family "Metazoan signal recognition particle RNA". Rfam says of the family: The signal recognition particle (SRP) is a universally conserved ribonucleoprotein. It is involved in the co-translational targeting of proteins to membranes. The record is from Ensembl. Lineage: Eukaryota; Metazoa; Chordata; Mammalia; Primates; Cercopithecidae.
GCUGGGCAUGGUGGCUCAUGCCUGUAAUCCCAGCACUUUGGGAGGCUGAGGUGGGUGGAUCACCUGAGGUCAGGAGUUUGAGACCAGCCUGGCCAACAUGGUGAAACCCCGUCUCUA